This 835-nucleotide ribosomal RNA is filed under the name uncultured bacterium. RNAcentral describes it as "bacterial SSU rRNA". It matches the Rfam family "Bacterial small subunit ribosomal RNA", at positions 56 to 905 of the family's 1533-position model. The record is from RNAcentral.
UGCAGUCGAACGGAAGUUAGAGCUUCGGUUUUAACUUUAGUGGCGAACGGGUGAGUAACGCGUGAGGAACCUGCCUUUCAGUGGGGGACAACAGUUGGAAACGACUGCUAAUACCGCAUGAUGCUUUUGGGAGACAUCUCCUGAAAGUCAAAGCUUUAUGUGCUGAAAGAUGGCCUCGCGUCUGAUUAGCUAGUUGGUGAGGUAACGGCUCACCAAGGCGACGAUCAGUAGCCGGUCUGAGAGGAUGAACGGCCACAUUGGGACUGAGAUACGGCCCAGACUCCUACGGGAGGCAGCAGUGGGGAAUAUUGGGCAAUGGGGGAAACCCUGACCCAACAACGCCGCGUGAAGGAAGAAGGCCUUCGGGUUGUAAACUUCUUUUACCAGGGACGAAGGACGUGACGGUACCUGGAGAAAAAGCAACGGCUAACUACGUGCCAGCAGCCGCGGUAAUACGUAGGUUGCAAGCGUUGUCCGGAUUUACUGGGUGUAAAGGGCGUGUAGGCGGAGAUGCAAGUUGGGAGUGAAAUCCAUGGGCUCAACCCAUGAACUGCUCUCAAAACUGUAUCCCUUGAGUAUCGGAGAGGCAAGCGGAAUUCCUAGUGUAGCGGUGAAAUGCGUAGAUAUUAGGAGGAACACCAGUGGCGAAGGCGGCUUGCUGGACGACAACUGACGCUGAGGCGCGAAAGCGUGGGGAGCAAACAGGAUUAGAUACCCUGGUAGUCCACGCUGUAAACGAUGAAUACUAGGUGUGGGAGGACUGACCCCUUCCGUGCCGCAGUUAACACAAUAAGUAUUCCACCUGGGGAGUACGACCGCAAGGUUGAAACUCAAA